This 650-nucleotide ribosomal RNA is filed under the name Anaplasma platys. RNAcentral describes it as "bacterial SSU rRNA". It matches the Rfam family "Bacterial small subunit ribosomal RNA", at positions 773 to 1422 of the family's 1533-position model. Lineage: Bacteria; Pseudomonadati; Pseudomonadota; Alphaproteobacteria; Rickettsiales; Anaplasmataceae. The record is from RNAcentral.
CAGGAUUAGAUACCCUGGUAGUCCACGCUGUAAACGAUGAGUGCUGAAUGUGGGGGCGUUUUGUCUCUGUGUUGUAGCUAACGCGUUAAGCACUCCGCCUGGGGACUACGGUCGCAAGACUAAAACUCAAAGGAAUUGACGGGGACCCGCACAAGCGGUGGAGCAUGUGGUUUAAUUCGAUGCAACGCGAAGAACCUUACCACUUCUUGACAUGGAGAUUAGAUCCUUCUUAACAGAAGGGCGCAGUUCGGCUGGAUCUCGCACAGGUGCUGCAUGGCUGUCGUCAGCUCGUGUCGUGAGAUGUUGGGUUAAGUCCCGCAACGAGCGUAACCCUCAUCCUUAGUUGCCAGCGGGUUAAGCCGGGCACUUUAAGGAGACUGCCAGUGGUAAACUGGAGGAAGGUGGGGAUGAUGUCAAGUCAGCACGGCCCUUAUGGGGUGGGCUACACACGUGCUACAAUGGUGACUACAAUAGGUUGCAAUGUCGCAAGGCUGAGCUAAUCCGUAAAAGUCAUCUCAGUUCGGAUUGUCCUCUGCAACUCGAGGGCAUGAAGUCGGAAUCGCUAGUAAUCGUGGAUCAGCAUGCCACGGUGAAUACGUUCUCGGGUCUUGUACACACUGCCCGUCACGCCAUGGGAAUUGGCUUAACUC